Sardina pilchardus (European sardine) is the source of this 332-nucleotide long non-coding RNA. RefSeq lists it as uncharacterized. Lineage: Eukaryota; Metazoa; Chordata; Actinopteri; Clupeiformes; Clupeidae. The record is from RefSeq and is a predicted model, not a curated record. The transcript has 3 exons.
CACACACACACACGCACACACACACACACGGAGUUCCUCAGCCGUGUGUGGACGUAAAGGCAGCAUUACGCAGAUCUCUCCUCCAGCUUCAGCGUGUUCUGUGUCUCCACUGCAGAGACUAACGGGUCAGGGAGAUGGAUGAGAAGCGUGUAAAGAAGACAAGUGUGCAGAAUGGCAGUGCCUCCCUCUCACACCCCCCGAAGGAAGAGAAAGCCACCGUGCUUCAGAAAGAGGUAGGUCUAGUGAGCGGAGUGUGUUUGAUCGUAGGGACGAUGAUCGGUUCUGGAAUCUUCAUCUCACCGAAAGCCGUGCUGGUGGGAACUGGAGCUGUG